GACGAACGCUGGCGGCGUGCUUAACACAUGCAAGUCGAACGGAAAGGCCCAGCUUGCUGGGUGCUCGAGUGGCGAACGGGUGAGUAACACGUGGGUGAUCUGCCUCUAACUUCGGGAUAAGCUUGGGAAACUGGGUCUAAUACCGGAUAGGACAAUCGUUUAGUGUCGGUUGUGGAAAGUUUUUUCGGUUAGGGAUGAGCCCGCGGCCUAUCAGCUUGUUGGUGGGGUAAUGGCCUACCAAGGCGUCGACGGGUAGCCGGCCUGAGAGGGUGGACGGCCACAUUGGGACUGAGAUACGGCCCAGACUCCUACGGGAGGCAGCGGUGGGGAAUAUUGCACAAUGGGCGCGAGCCUGAUGCAGCGACGCCGCGUGGGGGAUGACGGCCUUCGGGUUGUAAACCUCUUUCGACGGGGACGAAGCUUUGGUGACGGUACCUGUAGAAGAAGCACCGGCUAACUACGUG
RNAcentral lists this ribosomal RNA (464 nucleotides) under uncultured bacterium. RNAcentral's name for it is "partial 16S ribosomal RNA". It matches the Rfam family "Bacterial small subunit ribosomal RNA", at positions 28 to 507 of the family's 1533-position model. The record is from RNAcentral.